UGCAGUCGACGACUCUGGUAUUGAUUGGUGCUUGCAUCAUGAUUUACAUUUGAGUGAGUGGCGAACUGGUGAGUAACACGUGGGAAACCUGCCCAGAAGCGGGGGAUAACACCUGGAAACAGAUGCUAAUACCGCAUAACAACUUGGACCGCAUGGUCCGAGUUUGAAAGAUGGCUUCGGCUAUCACUUUUGGAUGGUCCCGCGGCGUAUUAGCUAGAUGGUGGGGUAACGGCUCACCAUGGCAAUGAUACGUAGCCGACCUGAGAGGGUAAUCGGCCACAUUGGGACUGAGACACGGCCCAAACUCCUACGGGAGGCAGCAGUAGGGAAUCUUCCACAAUGGACGAAAGUCUGAUGGAGCAACGCCGCGUGAGUGAAGAAGGGUUUCGGCUCGUAAAACUCUGUUGUUAAAGAAGAACAUAUCUGAGAGUAACUGUUCAGGUAUUGACGGUAUUUAACCAGAAAGCCACGGCUAACUACGUGCCAGCAGCCGCGGUAAUACGUAGGUGGCAAGCGUUGUCCGGAUUUAUUGGGCGUAAAGCGAGCGCAGGCGGUUUUUUAAGUCUGAUGUGAAAGCCUUCGGCUCAACCGAAGAAGUGCAUCGGAAACUGGGAAACUUGAGUGCAGAAGAGGACAGUGGAAACUCCAUGUGUAGCGGUGAAAUGCGUAGAUAUAUGGAAGAACACCAGUGGCGAAGCGGCUGUCUGGUCUGUAACUGACGCUGAGGCUCGAAAGUAUGGGUAGCAAACAGGAUUAGAUACCCUGGUAGUCCAUACCGUAACGAUGAUGCUAAGUGUUGGAGGGUUUCCGCCCUUCAGUGCUGCAGCUACGCAUAGCAAUCGCUGGGG
Molecule: ribosomal RNA, 848 nt
Filed under: Lactiplantibacillus plantarum
Lineage: Bacteria; Bacillati; Bacillota; Bacilli; Lactobacillales; Lactobacillaceae
Description: bacterial SSU rRNA
Rfam family: Bacterial small subunit ribosomal RNA
Source: RNAcentral